UACGGAGGGGGCUAGCGUUGUUCGGAAUUACUGGGCGUAAAGCGCGCGUAGGCGGCGCGGUAAGUCGGGUGUGAAAUCUCGGAGCUUAACUUCGAAACUGCAUUCGAUACUGCCGUGCUUGAGGACUGGAGAGGAGACUGGAAUUUACGGUGUAGCGGUGAAAUGCGUAGAUAUCGUAAGGAAGACCAGUGGCGAAGGCGGGUCUCUGGACAGUUCCUGACGCUGAGGCACGAAGGCCAGGGGAGCAAACGGG
RNAcentral lists this ribosomal RNA (253 nucleotides) under uncultured bacterium. RNAcentral describes it as "partial 16S ribosomal RNA". It matches the Rfam family "Bacterial small subunit ribosomal RNA", at positions 524 to 776 of the family's 1533-position model. The record is from RNAcentral.